UUGGCCCUGAAUCAAGGCCAGCAGUUUGCUGAAUCUGUUGUUUUCAAGCAGGAGCCUAAAGAAUUGUCUUUCUCUGGUCUGUUGGCCAUUUCAGAACUUUAGAAAUGUAACGGUCCAUUCAUUAGAAAGAAACAUCU
This is a small nucleolar RNA of Carlito syrichta (Philippine tarsier), 137 nucleotides long. Lineage: Eukaryota; Metazoa; Chordata; Mammalia; Primates; Tarsiidae. The record is from Ensembl.